Molecule: ribosomal RNA, 253 nt
Filed under: uncultured bacterium
Lineage: Bacteria
Description: partial 16S ribosomal RNA
Rfam family: Bacterial small subunit ribosomal RNA
Source: RNAcentral
UACGGAGGGUGCGAGCGUUGCCCGGAUUUAUUGGGCGUAAAGAGCGCGCAGGCGGUCGGAUAAGUCGAAUGUGAAAGCCCCCGGCUCAACUGGGGAGGGUCAUUCGAUACUGUUCGACUCGAAGGCAGGAGAGGGAAGUGGAAUUCCCGGUGUAGUGGUGAAAUGCGUAGAUAUCGGGAGGAACACCAGUGGCGAAGGCGACUUCCUGGCCUGUUCUUGACGCUGAGGCGCGAAAGCUAGGGGAGCAAACGGG